RNAcentral lists this transfer RNA (63 nucleotides) under uncultured Brachybacterium sp. It matches the Rfam family "tRNA", at positions 8 to 63 of the family's 71-position model. Rfam says of the family: Transfer RNA (tRNA) molecules are approximately 80 nucleotides in length. Their secondary structure includes four short double-helical elements and three loops (D, anti-codon, and T loops). The record is from RNAcentral. Lineage: Bacteria; Bacillati; Actinomycetota; Actinomycetes; Micrococcales; Dermabacteraceae.
UAGCUCAGUGGAUAGAGCGUCUGCCUCCGGAGCAGAAGGUCGUAGGUUCGAAUCCUGUCGCGG